CCUACGGGUGGCAGCAGUGAGGAAUAUUGGUCAAUGGGCGCGAGCCUGAACCAGCCAAGUAGCGUGAAGGAUGACUGCCCUACGGGUUGUAAACCUCUUUUGUCGGGGAGCAAAGCGAGUCACGUGUGACUCAUUGAGAGUACCCGAAGAAAAAGCAUCGGCUAACUCCGUGCCAGCAGCCGCGGUAAUACGGAGGAUGCGAGCGUUAUCCGGAUUUAUUGGGUUUAAAGGGUGCGCAGGCGGAGGUGCAAGUCAGCGGUCAAAUUGCGGGGCCCAACCCCGGGACUGCUCUUGGAACUGCGUGGCUGGAGUGCAGGAGGGGCAGGCGGAAUUCCUGGUGUAGCGGUGAAAUGCGUAGAUAUCAGGAGGAACACCGGUGGCGAAGGCGGCCUGCUGGACUGCAACUGACGUUGAGGCCCGAAAGCGUGGGGAGCAAACAGGAUUAGAUACCCUAGUAGUC
This 460-nucleotide ribosomal RNA is filed under the name uncultured bacterium. RNAcentral's name for it is "partial 16S ribosomal RNA". It matches the Rfam family "Bacterial small subunit ribosomal RNA", at positions 338 to 795 of the family's 1533-position model. The record is from RNAcentral.